GCGCUCAUAGCUCAGCUGGUAGAGCAGUUGGCUCUUAACCAAACGGUCGGGGGUUCGAAUCCCUCUGGGCGCACCA
Molecule: transfer RNA, 76 nt
Filed under: Candidatus Magasanikiibacteriota bacterium
Lineage: Bacteria; Candidatus Magasanikiibacteriota
Description: tRNA-Lys
Rfam family: tRNA
About the family: Transfer RNA (tRNA) molecules are approximately 80 nucleotides in length.
Source: RNAcentral